RNAcentral lists this ribosomal RNA (140 nucleotides) under uncultured bacterium. RNAcentral describes it as "partial 16S rRNA". It matches the Rfam family "Bacterial small subunit ribosomal RNA", at positions 355 to 507 of the family's 1533-position model. The record is from RNAcentral.
UGGGGAAUAUCGCACAAUGGGCGAAAGCCUGAUGCAGCGACGCCGCGUGAGGGAUGACGGCCUUCGGGUUGUAAACCUCUUUCAGCAGGGAAGAAGCGUGAGUGACGGUACCUGCGGAAGAAGCACCGGCUAACUACGUG